UACGAAGGGGGCUAGCGUUGCUCGGAAUCACUGGGCGUAAAGCGCUCGUAGGCGGGUUCUUAAGUCAGGGGUGAAAUCCUGGAGCUCAACUCCAGAACUGCCUUUGAUACUGGGAAUCUCGAGUCCGGGAGAGGUGAGUGGAACUGCGAGUGUAGAGGUGAAAUUCGUAGAUAUUCGCAAGAACACCAGUGGCGAAGGCGGCUCACUGGCCCGGUACUGACGCUGAGGUGCGAAAGCGUGGGGAGCAAACAGG
This 253-nucleotide ribosomal RNA is filed under the name uncultured bacterium. Its description in RNAcentral is "partial 16S ribosomal RNA". It matches the Rfam family "Bacterial small subunit ribosomal RNA", at positions 524 to 776 of the family's 1533-position model. The record is from RNAcentral.